This is a long non-coding RNA of Ictalurus punctatus (channel catfish), 1570 nucleotides long. NCBI's taxonomy places the organism in Eukaryota, Metazoa, Chordata, Actinopteri, Siluriformes, Ictaluridae. The record is from Ensembl.
AGCUGUUAAUUGUGCCGGUGCGCUGAGAGCCUAUAUCUGUCAGCUGCAAAAGAGGGUCCCUGAGUAAUUUUGUUUUCGGCUCAUUUCAUUUCAGCUCGUCAGUGGAAACGGAUUUAAUGUUAUCCUUCUGACACGGACCUUGUAACAGACAAACACUAAUGGCAGUAGAACAUGAAGAAGAAAAAACACCACGUUGAGUAAAUAGAUUUCUCUGUGCACCGCAACGGACUGCUAACAUUAUCUAAUCGUCUCUUUUCCUCUCUGUAAUGCAACCCGAGCAACCUUUGCUUUCCAAGCCGUGUUUCAAAUUGACCCUGCGUUAAGACUGAUCUCAGGCUCGGCGUCCAUUGUUUGUUCGCCGAGGCAUCUUCAUGGCAGGUCUGUGCGGCUUUCGUCAUGUCCCUCAGCUUAGCCCAAUUAGCAAGCACCCCUCAUGUUGUCACAUUCUCCUGUAUGAGCUGUCAGACCAGUGAUGAAGGGCUCCUGAACACUAAAACAGACAGAGUGCACCUCCCUCUGUGUUAUUUUGUUACUUCGCUGUCAACUGACUGCAGCUGGUGCUAAGCAAAUCAUCAGUACCCUUCCGAAUGCUGCGAGCUCUCACAGCAAGGAAAAGGUGACUUUGCGGUUUGGCAUGUCUGGUGGAUGGGUUAGAACGGCAGAAGACCACAUCAGGUUCCACUCCUGUCAGCCAAGAACAAGAAUCUGAGGCUAUCAUGGGCGCGGAUUGACUGAAACUGGACCGCUGAAGACUGGAAAAAAGACCAGGUUCUUGGGCUGGAGAUCCACCAUUCUCCUUGUUGCCAGUGGUACGGGGCACUGCCUUCAGAGCCAGAGUGGUGGGCCGUGCCGGGCUGAUGGCAGAAAGUGGAGAAGGGCUGGCAGAGGAGUCGGAUGAAGAUGUGAGGUGCUCUAAGACUGGAGUUGGAGGUGGGGGAAGGGGAAGGUCAAGGAUGUCGUGGGGUUCUAAAAGGGGAACAGGGUCUGGAGGAGGCACAUCUUGCAAGUCCAGGUCUGCACUGUUCCUGUCCAUAUGUUCUGUCCAGUCAUGUACUGGUUCUGCCUCUGGCUGGACAAAACCUGGGUCACUUGGAAGUGCUGGGAAUGAUGAUUUGCUACCUGUGAAAAGACAUAAACAGUGUAAAUAAAUGUAGUAAUAAUGGACGCAAACAUAGCUGAACUAGUGAUCAUUCAAGCUGAUGGUGAAUGAUUCGCCAUCAAGUUCCUGAACACAGUAGGUCCAAGUUAACAUUAUUCAUAGACCUACUAGACCUACUUUUCUUUCUUUCUUUUUUAGUUAUUACAAUUUGGAUUAAACCAAAUUCAAGUGUCCAGUCAAACAGGUCAAUUAUGGUAACUCAAUAACACAGUAAAUAGAUUUGACAAUAUUGGGUUGGGAUUUUCACCACUGUAACUAAAAACAAAUAAACAAAAAACAGGGACCUCUGGGCUAUAAUUCAAGGACUCCAGGAGGACCCCAGACUCCUCUUGGAGAACCGCCAUGAAAUAUUCAGUGCUUCAUUUUGAUUGAAAUGAAAAAAAAAAAAAAGGCUUCAGUCCCUAAAUAAAU